Molecule: transfer RNA, 73 nt
Filed under: Camelus bactrianus (Bactrian camel)
Lineage: Eukaryota; Metazoa; Chordata; Mammalia; Artiodactyla; Camelidae
Also listed under: 1 other name
Rfam family: tRNA
About the family: Transfer RNA (tRNA) molecules are approximately 80 nucleotides in length.
Source: Rfam by way of RNAcentral
GAGGAUAUAGCUCAAGUGGUAGAGUGCAUGCUUAGCAUGCACAAGGUCCUGGGUUCAAUUCCCAGUACCUCCU